GAAGAAUGAUGACAAAGUUUUGGUCCCAUAUGAACGAACGUGAUUAUGGUUUGAGAUCAUUCUGAUUUU
Molecule: small nucleolar RNA, 69 nt
Organism: Pelobates fuscus (common spadefoot toad)
Lineage: Eukaryota; Metazoa; Chordata; Amphibia; Anura; Pelobatidae
Product: small nucleolar RNA SNORD73
Exons: 1
Source: RefSeq, a predicted model, not a curated record